RNAcentral lists this ribosomal RNA (478 nucleotides) under uncultured bacterium. RNAcentral's name for it is "bacterial SSU rRNA". It matches the Rfam family "Bacterial small subunit ribosomal RNA", at positions 27 to 507 of the family's 1533-position model. The record is from RNAcentral.
CGGAUGAACGCUAGCUACAGGCUUAACACAUGCAAGUCGAGCGGUUGUUGCUUUUGCACAUUCAGCGGCAGACGGGUGAGUAACACGUAUCUAACCUUCCCCUUACUUGGGCAUAGCCUCUGGAAACGGAGAUUAAUUUCCGAUGUGGUGUACAUUUCGCAUGUUUUGCGCACCAAAGAUUUAUCGGUAAGGGAUGGGGAUGCGCUCCAUUAGGUUGUAGGUAGGGUAAUGGCCUACCUAGCCUAUGAUGGAUAGGGGUUCUGAGAGGAAGGUCCCCCACAUUGGAACUGCGACACGGUCCAAACUCCUACGGGAGGCAGCAGUGAGGAAUAUUGGUCAAUGGCCGGAAGGCUGAACCAGCCAAGUAGCGUGCAGGAUGACUGCCUUAUGGGUUGUAAACUGCUUUUUUACGGGAAUAAUUAUGAUCACGUGUGAUUAUUUGCAUGUACCGUAAGAAUAAGGAUCGGCUAACUCCGUG